UCGGUUCGGGUAUCGGGUUGG
This 21-nucleotide non-coding RNA is filed under the name Arabidopsis thaliana (thale cress). Lineage: Eukaryota; Viridiplantae; Streptophyta; Magnoliopsida; Brassicales; Brassicaceae. The record is from RNAcentral.